AACGAACGCUGGCGGCAUGCCUAACACAUGCAAGUCGAACGAGACCUUCGGGUCUAGUGGCGCACGGGUGUGUAACGCGUGGGAUCCUGCACUUAGGUUCGGAAUAACUCCCCGAAAGGGGUGCUAAUACCGGAUAAUGUCUUCGGCCCAAAGAUUUAUUGCCUUUGGAUGGGCCCGAGUUGGAUUAGCUAGUUUGGAGGGUAAAAGGCUACCAAGGCGACGAUCCAUAGCUGGUCUUGGAGGAUGGUCAGCCACACUUGGACUGGGACACGGCCCAGACUCCCACGGGAUGGCAGAAUUGGGGAAGGUGGAACAUUGGGCGAAUGCUGAAGCACCCAGGCCCGUAGAACUCUGAAGGCCUUAGGGUUGUAAAGCUCUUUUACCCGGGAUGAUAAUGACAGUACCGGGAGAAUAAGCUCCGGCUAACUCCGUG
This 433-nucleotide ribosomal RNA is filed under the name uncultured bacterium. Its description in RNAcentral is "partial 16S ribosomal RNA". It matches the Rfam family "Bacterial small subunit ribosomal RNA", at positions 29 to 507 of the family's 1533-position model. The record is from RNAcentral.